CAGGAGCCGGCAGAAAUAUUAGCACCCGAUCGAUGCAGAACCAUGAAAGCAUUUGGACCACAGCUGCUUCUUUUGCUGGCGCUGCUAGGAUUCAUCGCUGGACAGGAGAUGGGAAUCCCACUGAACACACGGACCUGUGCCAGUUGGAGAGGUCUCUGCCGUCGCUCCUGCCUGGCUUAUGAGAUCCACCUGGGUGUUCACGGCUGCCCACGUCACUAUAGAUGCUGUGUGCUGAGAACCUAGCACAGAGAGGAGGUCAAGGAAAUCCAUCACUCCAGUGAAGGGAGGGAUGUUCCGGGUACAAGCUGAUCAGAAGAAGAGUGGCCCCUGUUAUAGACAAGUUUUGCAAUACAGUGGUACCUUGGUUCUCAAACUUGAUCCGUUCCGCAAGUCCGCUCCAAAACCAAAAGCGUUCCAAAACCAAGGCACGCUUUCCCAUAGAAAGUAAUGCAAAAGGGAUUAAUCCGUUCCAGACUUUUAAAAACAACCCCUAAAACAGCAAUUCAACAUGAAUUUUACUAUCUAGCGAGACCAUUGAUCCAUAAAAAUGAAAGCAAUAAACUAUGUACUGCAGUCACACAAUCAAUCAAUCAAUCAAUCAGUAGCUGAACUGGGUUCCACACAGUCAGAAAAACAAAAAAGAGCCGCAAUAACAAAAAAGCAAAAUAAAUAGCAAAAAACAGACAGAACUCAGAGUAACACUCAAAACGUAAGGGUGGCACUCAAAUCGCAAGCGUAACACUCAAAACAGAGAACGUUCGGCUUCCGAAAAAGGUUUGCAAACCGGAACACUUACUUCCGGGUUUGCAGUGUUUGGGUUCCAUGUUGUUUGAGUACCAAGGCGUUUGAGAACCAAGGUACCACUGUAUCUGUUUAUUUGACAUCACCAUGGAAAUCAUCGCCUCCCAACAAUUCACUAUGGCUUCGAUUUGUUUUAAGCUGAUAUGUUUUUAAGUUGCUUAUUUCUGCCUUGCAGCAAGGUGAUUGCGACUGUUUAAUUUUCUUUAAAGGAAACGCUUCAGAGAACACACGACGCAACUUUUGAAAAGUUCGACAAGGCUAAGUUAAAGCUUUGCAACUGGCUAACACUACUUUCUGCUUGUUUAUCAUUCCCAAGACAAAGAUGUAGCACAUAUUGCAACCAACCAUAAAUAAAAGCACGGUGGAAAAUUCAUUGUUUGGCAAUAAUGAUUAAAACAUGCAUUUAUCUUGAA
Molecule: long non-coding RNA, 1214 nt
Organism: Podarcis raffonei (Aeolian wall lizard)
Lineage: Eukaryota; Metazoa; Chordata; Lepidosauria; Squamata; Lacertidae
Exons: 3
Source: RefSeq, a predicted model, not a curated record